This is a long non-coding RNA of Dreissena polymorpha, 1578 nucleotides long. RefSeq lists it as uncharacterized. The record is from RefSeq and is a predicted model, not a curated record. The transcript is spliced from 6 exons. NCBI's taxonomy places the organism in Eukaryota, Metazoa, Mollusca, Bivalvia, Myida, Dreissenidae.
AUUUAAUUCGAGCUAUUAUCAGUCAUUGUCAUAACUUUGUGUUUUUGCUGAAUAGAUUACAUGCCUUUGACUUCCUUUUAAUGUUUUUACUAUAUAUAGUUCCUUUAUUAGCUAAACUUUUACAAAUAAACAAUAGAAAACAACAAAAAGAAACCUAUUUUUAUUAGUUUGUAUAAAAUAGUGUUUAAUAUCUUUUAAACGGAAACUCAUUAAACAUGAAAACAGGAUUUGUCGUGUAUAUAUUAUUUUUGGCGUGCUUUCAUGGAUUGUACGCCCGACCAGCCCGACGUUCUUGUGGCAGCUUUUACCCAUUCUGCAAAUGUCCUCAGUACGUAAAUGGUUGUUAUACAUGCCCGGCCUCCUGCCCAUCAGCUCCAGGUUCAGUGACCAGCAGCCUUGCCACGACCAUUGCCCACAGCACAUUCGGUGAUUUCCAUCCCGGUAUGAAUCCCGGAAUACAAUCCACCAAGCACAUCUGGCACUUCCGGUUCUGCGCAGACUCAAGCCCCUUCUAAUAUCCCGUCGUCCUAUUCAACUAACAGCGCCAACAGUCCUACCCAUCCGACAAGUCCUUCCACAUCUGUACAAACACCAGCGCCCAGCAGUUCUCCGUCCGCACAAGGAAGUGGGUCGUCUUCCGCAGGAAACCUUGACCUUGUAUGUCCCCCAUUGCCGUCCUGUCCAGAUGCCACGAAGAUAACAUAUGAUGAUAAUAAUUGCGCUAUAUGCUCCAGCGCAGGAAACCAUAACCGACCGAUUUCCAAUACAAACGGCUGUCCACCCGUCAGCAUGCCGAUGAAAGAUUGCCACAUAGAUCGAAAUGGAUGCUUGCUAUGUCAAGGAUCAAUCAUAACAACAACUACACCAUUGACAAGCCCAACAACAACGCAAACAAGUACUCAGUCAACAACAAUAAAAUCAACAACACGACCCACUACCCCUACUCCAUUUACAACGAAACAAACAACAACAAGACCAACAACACCUACACCAAUAUCUACGAAAUCUACUUCGCCGACAACUUACACGAUUACUGCAGCAAAGACAACAACGCAACAGUCGGCCAUUUCAGCAAGUUCUGCAACAUCACCCACAACACCAUCUACCUCUACGACUACUACUAAAAAUAGUUUAGCAGCAACAACAGCUUCUACUACUACCGGUAGUUCAGCGGCAACAACAACUUCUACAACUACAGUUACUUCAGCAGCAACAACGUCUACUACUUCAGGUAGUUCGGCCGCAACAACAGCUGCUACUACUUCAGGUAGCUCAGCAGCAACAACAGCUUCUAUUACUGCAGGUAGUUCAACUGCAACGCCAGGAAAUACAGCACCACACGGAAGCUCAGCCACAAACGGAAGUACAAUAGUUAUGGCACCUCCGACAUUCACGACGAUCCACAUUCCCGCUGUUACAACGGCCUGUCCCCAGAUGCAAUGUUUGUUGGACUGUGGAAGCCCUCCGAAGUUUAUGAAAGAUACGAAAGGGUGCGAUCUCUGCCAAUGUGACCUAAGCCCUUAAUACGAUGGUGCAUGUACCACUUAAUUAAGCAAAUUAAAGGAUUUUACUAUCGCA